AUGAGGCUAAAAAGGCACAGGACAAUCAUGAAUUUAUGCCUAAAGCUCAGACGAUGGAGGCUGUUAGCCUUUGACAGUGAGAAGCAGAGGAUUCACAAGGGGAUUGCUGCAGGGAGUUUGCAGCAGGAAGAUUUCUGAGGCUUUCCUGGGCAGCCACCAUUUCCUCCUCUUUAUCUAUAAUGGAAGUAUUUCUGAGCAGUGUGUGAUGCA
RNAcentral lists this long non-coding RNA (210 nucleotides) under Cyanistes caeruleus (blue tit). Its description in RNAcentral is "lncRNA (ENSCCEG00000008992.1)". The record is from RNAcentral. Lineage: Eukaryota; Metazoa; Chordata; Aves; Passeriformes; Paridae.